This 62-nucleotide transfer RNA is filed under the name Meghimatium bilineatum. RNAcentral describes it as "tRNA-Ser". Lineage: Eukaryota; Metazoa; Mollusca; Gastropoda; Stylommatophora; Philomycidae. The record is from RNAcentral.
AUUAAGUUAUUAUUUAAUCGAGGCUGCUAACUUUGAUUAGGGAUAUAAUAUUCCACUUAAUU